This 1356-nucleotide ribosomal RNA is filed under the name uncultured Bacteroidota bacterium. RNAcentral describes it as "bacterial SSU rRNA". It matches the Rfam family "Bacterial small subunit ribosomal RNA", at positions 28 to 1382 of the family's 1533-position model. The record is from RNAcentral. Lineage: Bacteria; Pseudomonadati; Bacteroidota.
GAUGAACGCUGGCGGCAGGCUUAAUACAUGCAAGUCGAACGGUAACAUGGAGGUAGCAAUACUUUUGAUGACGAGUGGCGGACGGGUGCGUAACGCGUGUGCAACCUACCCAUAAUUAGGACAAAACGUUGAGGAAUUGGCGCUAAUAUCCUAUGUGUAUAUAAUAAGGCAUCUUGAUAUAUAUAAAGAUUUAUUGAUUAUGGAUGGGCAUGCGUAUCAUUAGAUAGUUGGUAAGGUAACGGCUUACCAAGUCAAUGAUGAUUAGGGGUUCUGAGAGGAUAACCCCCCACACUGGAACUGAGAGACGGUCCAGACUCCUACGGGAGGCAGCAGUAGGGAAUCUUGGGCAAUGGAGGCAACUCUGACCCAGCCAUGCCGCGUGAAAGAAGACGGCCUUACGGGUUGUAAAUUUCUUUUAUUAUAGAGUAAUAGCGGGGACGUGUCCCUGUAUGAGAGUAUAUAAUGAAUAAGCAUCGGCUAACUCCGUGCCAGCAGCCGCGGUAAUACGGAGGAUGCAAGCGUUAUCCGGAUUUAUUGGGUUUAAAGGGUGCGCAGGCGGACUGAUAAGUCAAGGGUGAAAAGUUACGGCUUAACCGUAACCGUGCCUAUGAUACUGUCGGACUAGAGUGUAGAAGACGUAACUGGAAUGUGAUGUGUAGCGGUGAAUGCUUAGAGAUGUCACAGAACGCCGAUCGUGAAGACAGGUUACGAAUAUACAACUGACGCUCAUGCACGAAAGCGUGGGGAUCAAACAGGAUUAGAUACCCUGGUAGUCCACGCUGUAAACGAUGAUCACUCGUUGUUGGGCUGUAAAGCUCAGCGGCUAAGCGCAAGCGAUAAGUGAUCCACCUGGGGAGUACGAUCGCAAGGUUGAAACUCAAAGGAAUUGACGGGGGCCCGCGCAAGCGGAGGAGCAUGUGGUUUAAUUCGAUGAUACGCGAGGAACCUUACCCGGGCUUGAACGUAAGAUGAAUAUAGAGGAAACUCUAUAGCCUACGGGCGUCUUGCGAGGUGCUGCAUGGUUGUCGUCAGCUCGUGCCGUGAGGUGUUAGGUUAAGUCCUGCAACGAGCGCAACCCUUACACAUAGUUGCCAGCACGUAAUGGUGGGGACUCUAUGUGAACUGCCUACGCAAGUAGCGAGGAAGGUGGGGAUGACGUCAAAUCAGCACGGCCCUUAUGUCCGGGGCUACACACGUGCUACAAUGGUAUGUACAGAGGGCAGCGACCACGCGAGUGGAGGCCAAUCCUCAAAACAUAUCUCAGUUCGGAUUGGAGUCUGUAACUCGACUCUAUGAAGUUGGAUUCGCUAGUAAUCGCGCAUCAGCCAUGGCGCGGUGAAUACGUUCCCGGGCCUU